This 497-nucleotide ribosomal RNA is filed under the name uncultured bacterium. RNAcentral describes it as "partial 16S ribosomal RNA". It matches the Rfam family "Bacterial small subunit ribosomal RNA", at positions 899 to 1397 of the family's 1533-position model. The record is from RNAcentral.
ACUCAAAUGAAUAGACGGGGGCCCGCACAAGCAGCGGAGCAUGUGGUUUAAUUCGACGCAACGCGAAGAACCUUACCUGGGCUUGACAUGUCAGUGACCGCCGUGGAAACACGGUUUUCCUUCGGGACACUGUCACAGGUGGUGCAUGGCUGUCGUCAGCUCGUGUCGUGAGAUGUUGGGUUAAGUCCCGCAACGAGCGCAACCCCCGUCCUAUGUUGCCAUCAUUAAGUUGGGGACUCAUAGGAGACUGCCGGUGACAAACCGGAGGAAGGUGGGGAUGACGUCAAGUCAUCAUGCCCCUUAUGUCCAGGGCUACACACGUGCUACAUUGGCGCAUACAAAGGGCAGCAAUACCGCGAGGUGGAGCGAAUCCCAUAAAGUGCGCCUCGGUUCGGAUUGGAGGCUGAAACUCGCCUCCAUGAAGGUGGAGUUGCUAGUAAUCGCAGAUCAGCAAUGCUGCGGUGAAUACGUUCCCGGGCCUUGCACACACCGCCCGU